This is a long non-coding RNA of Microtus oregoni (creeping vole), 151 nucleotides long. RefSeq lists it as uncharacterized. The transcript has 3 exons. NCBI's taxonomy places the organism in Eukaryota, Metazoa, Chordata, Mammalia, Rodentia, Cricetidae. The record is from RefSeq and is a predicted model, not a curated record.
AGACAAUGGAUUUUAUUCAGCUGUAAAGAAUGUUGUCAAUCAGGAAACAUGGGGACACAGAAGAUGAGAGAGGACUGCUGUUUGUGUGCCGUGCUUCUCCUCUUUCAGAGACUUGUAGUCUUCAUCACUCAUCAAAGAAACCUCUCUGUGC